CAGUCGCCGCGGGAAUACGAAGGGUGCAAGCGUUACUCGGAAUUACUGGGCGUAAAGCGUGCGUAGGUGGUGGUUUAAGUCCGUUGUGAAAGCCCUGGGCUCAACCUGGGAAUUGCAGUGGAUACUGGGUCACUAGAGUGUGGUAGAGGAUAGUGGAAUUUCCGGUGUAGCAGUGAAAUGCGUAGAGAUCGGAAGGAACAUCUGUGGCGAAGGCGACUAUCUGGGCCAACACUGACACUGAGGUGCGAAAGCGUGGGGAGCAAACAGGAUUAGAUACCCCUGUAGUCCCUGUCUCUUAUAC
This 301-nucleotide ribosomal RNA is filed under the name uncultured bacterium. RNAcentral's name for it is "partial 16S ribosomal RNA". It matches the Rfam family "Bacterial small subunit ribosomal RNA", at positions 509 to 807 of the family's 1533-position model. The record is from RNAcentral.